RNAcentral lists this unclassified non-coding RNA (430 nucleotides) under soil metagenome. Its description in RNAcentral is "partial contains 5.8S ribosomal RNA, internal transcribed spacer 2, and large subunit ribosomal RNA". The stretch from base 1 to 120 matches the Rfam family "5.8S ribosomal RNA", at positions 35 to 154 of the family's 154-position model. The record is from RNAcentral.
GAUGAAGAACGUAGCGAAAUGCGAUACGUAAUGUGAAUUGCAGAAUUCAGUGAAUCAUCGAAUCUUUGAACGCAUAUUGCGCUCUCUGGUAUUCCGGAGAGCAUGCUUGUUUGAGUAUCAGUAAACACCUCAACUCCCUUUUCUUUUUUGAAAUUGGAGCUGGACUUGAGUGAUCCCAACGCUUUCUUCCAAGAAAGUGGCGGGUUGCUUGAAAUGCAGGUGCAGCUGAACUUUUCUCUGAGCUAUAAGCAUAUCUAUUUAGUCUGCCUAAAAAACAGAUUAUUACCUUUGCUGCAGCUAACAUAAAGGAGACUAGUUCUUGUGCUGACUGAUGCAGGAUUCACAGAGACAGCUUCGGCUGACUUUGUAAACUCGAUCUCAAAUCAAGUAAGACUACCCGCUGAACCUAAGCAUAUCAAUAAGCGGAGGA